This 582-nucleotide small RNA is filed under the name Pongo abelii (Sumatran orangutan). RNAcentral's name for it is "processed transcript". Lineage: Eukaryota; Metazoa; Chordata; Mammalia; Primates; Hominidae. The record is from RNAcentral.
UGUGGGGAGUGGUUGGAGGUGAGGAUGAGUCAACAGGUUGGGGCCCAGAGGCACGGUGAUCCUGUUCUCAGAUUGCGCAUGAGCAGCCGAGCCUGCUGACCGCAGCUCCGCACUCGUCCAUCCCCCUGCGGCUACACCAUGUCCAGCUCCUACGAUGAGGCCUCACUGGCUCCAGAGGAGACCACCGACAGCUUCUGGGAGGUGGGGAACUAUAAGCGGACCGUGAAGCGCAUCGAUGACGGCCACCGUCUAUGCAACGACCUGAUGAACUGCGUGCAGGAGCGCGCCAAGAUCGAGAAGGCGUACGGGCAGCAGCUCACCGACUGGGCCAAACGUUGGCGCCAGCUCAUCGAGAAAGGUGCUCCCCCAGGCUCACAUCGUGCGCGCCCCCAGGCCGUCACCAGCCCCCUCGGUCUGGGUCCUAGGAGCCCCGGCUACUUGCAUGCACCAUGCCCUCCAUCUACCAGACACAGGACCUUUUCAGGCGCUGUCCCCUCCUAGAUCAAACCAGGCCUACCUGUUCAUCUCUAUUUUGUACAACUUUAGGUUGAAUUAAAAAAAAAAACACUUUUUAUCUUGAAA